CUCUCUUUCUCUUACAUAUGAUGGAAUAUGGCAACUGCUGCCCAGUAGGUUAAGACUUGGCUGAGGCUGGAGAGGAAAAAGCUAGUGAGGCAGCGCCACUGGGGAUGAGAGAAGCCUCCCUACUGAUCUGGGAUCACCAGCAUCCAUCCAUCCGGCCAACCUACAGCACAGACAUUAUACAGAAGUAGUAAAGGAGGAACUGCCAAUGCCAACACCAAGGUGAGGCUCCUGGCCAGAGACAGAAAGAGAGAGGCACAAGUUUAG
Erinaceus europaeus (western European hedgehog) is the source of this 264-nucleotide long non-coding RNA. RefSeq lists it as uncharacterized. The transcript has 3 exons. The record is from RefSeq and is a predicted model, not a curated record. NCBI's taxonomy places the organism in Eukaryota, Metazoa, Chordata, Mammalia, Eulipotyphla, Erinaceidae.